AUUCCAGCUCCAAUAGCGUAUAUUAAUGUUGUUGCAGUUAAAAAGCUCGUAGUUGAAUUUCUGGUUAAAAUCUUAGCUGGCUUUGGUCGUUAAUGUUUUAAUCAUCCGUUAGAGAACUAUAACCGUCCUUAACUGGUCAUUAUAGAGAUCUAACAUUUUACUUUGAAAAAAUUAGAGUGUUCAAGGCAGGCAAUCGUCAUGAAUACUAUAGCAUGGAAUAAUGGAAUAGGACUUUGGUUCAUUUUAUUGGUUAUUGAACCUUAGUAAUGAUUAACAGGGACAGUUGGGGGCAUUAGUAUUUAAUUGUCAGAGGUGAAAUUCUUGGAUUUAUUAAAGACUAACUUAUGCGAAAGCAUUUGCCAAGGAUGUUUUCAUCG
This 377-nucleotide ribosomal RNA is filed under the name Prostomatea sp. RNAcentral's name for it is "partial small subunit ribosomal RNA". It matches the Rfam family "Eukaryotic small subunit ribosomal RNA", at positions 582 to 975 of the family's 1831-position model. The record is from RNAcentral. Lineage: Eukaryota; Ciliophora; Prostomatea.